UUUCGGAUCUCGGCAGACGUCUCAGUAACACGUGGAUAAUCUACCCUUGAGUGGGGGAUAAGCUUGGAAACCUGAGUAUAAUACCCCAUAGGCCUAGGAUGCUGGAAUGCUUCUAGGCUGAAAGCUCCGGCGCUCGAGGAUGAAUCUGCGGCCUAUCAGGCAGUAGUGGGUGUAACGGACCCACUAACCUUCGACGGGUACGGGCCUUGAGAGAGGUUGCCCGGAGUUGGACUCUGAGACACGAGUCCAGGCCCUACGGGGUGCAGCAGGCGCGAAAACUUCACAAUGUGGGAAACCACGAUGAGGGGAUUCCAAGUGCCAACACUUUGUGUUGGCUGUUCACUUGCCUAAAAAGCUGGUGAAGUAAGAGCCGGGUAAGACGGGUGCCAGCCGCCGCGGUAAUACCCGCGGCUCGAGUGGUGGCCACUAUUAUUGAGCCUAAAGCGUUCGUAGCCGGUUUCGUAAAUUUCUGGGUAAAUCGGGCAGCUUAACUGUCCGAAUUCCGGAAAGACUGCGAAACUUGGGACCGGAGGAGGUUGGAGGUACUCCUGGGGUAGGGGUGAAAUCCUGUAAUCCUGGGGGGACCACCAGUGGCGAAGGCGUCCAACCAAAACGGCUCCGACGGUAAGGGACGAAGCCCUGGGGCGCAAACGGGAUUAGAUACCCCGGUAGUCCAGGGUGUAAACGCUGCAGGCUUGGUGUUGGGGGUCCUACGAGGGCGCCCAGUGCCGGAGAGAAGUUGUUAAGCCUGCCGCUUGGGGAGUACGUCCGCAAGGAUGAAACUUAAAGGAAUUGGCGGGGGAGCAC
Molecule: ribosomal RNA, 807 nt
Filed under: uncultured archaeon
Lineage: Archaea
Description: bacterial SSU rRNA
Rfam family: Archaeal small subunit ribosomal RNA
Source: RNAcentral